CUGAUGCUGGUGCGGGGCGCCAGCCGGUUGCGGGCCGUCGAGGCGCCGCCGGUCACGCGGCGGCAUCGGGC
This 71-nucleotide transfer RNA is filed under the name Gemmobacter nanjingensis. Its description in RNAcentral is "tRNA-Arg". Lineage: Bacteria; Pseudomonadati; Pseudomonadota; Alphaproteobacteria; Rhodobacterales; Paracoccaceae. The record is from RNAcentral.